RNAcentral lists this ribosomal RNA (253 nucleotides) under uncultured bacterium. RNAcentral's name for it is "partial 16S ribosomal RNA". It matches the Rfam family "Bacterial small subunit ribosomal RNA", at positions 524 to 776 of the family's 1533-position model. The record is from RNAcentral.
UACGGGGGGGGCAAGCGUUGUUCGGAAUUACUGGGCGUAAAGGGCUCGUAGGUGGCCAACUAAGUCAGACGUGAAAUCCCCAGGCUCAACUUGGGAACUGCGUCUGAUACUGGAUGGCUUGAAUUCGGGAGAGGGAUGCAGAAUUCCAGGUGUAGCGGUGAAAUGCGUAGAUAUCUGGAGGAAUACCGGUGGCGAAGGCGGCAUCCUGGACCGAGAUUGACACUGAUGAGCGAAAGCGAGGGGAGCAAACGGG